This 178-nucleotide small nucleolar RNA is filed under the name Gouania willdenowi (blunt-snouted clingfish). RNAcentral's name for it is "Small nucleolar RNA SNORA81 (ENSGWIG00000013573.1)". It matches the Rfam family "Small nucleolar RNA SNORA81". Lineage: Eukaryota; Metazoa; Chordata; Actinopteri; Blenniiformes; Gobiesocidae. The record is from Rfam by way of RNAcentral.
UCCUUCUGCCUCAAAAGAGCUCUGCUAUAAUCAUGUGAUCCACACGCUGGGUCACGUGAUAAUGCUAGCCGAGUUUAGCGUGGAAGGAGAUCAAAGCGCUCUGCACUGUAAAUGAGAUGUGGUCGAACCUCUUUCUUAAUGUUCUUUGGCCGCCGUCUCGAGGUGCAGAGCUACAGAU